GACGAACGCUGGCGGCGUGCUUAACACAUGCAAGUCGAACGAUGGAGCCGGAGCUUGCUCCGGUGGAUUAGUGGCGAACGGGUGAGUAACACGUGAGCAAUCUGCCCUUGACUCUGGGAUAACUGCGGGAAACUGUAGCUAAUACCGGGUACGACACCUUGGGGCAUCCCAGGGUGUGGAAAGAAUUUCGGUCAAGGAUGAGCUCGCGGCCUAUCAGCUAGUUGGUGAGGUAAUGGCUCACCAAGGCGACGACGGGUAGCCGGCCUGAGAGGGUGACCGGCCACACUGGAACUGAGACACGGUCCAGACUCCUACGGGAGGCAGCAGUGGGGAAUAUUGCACAAUGGGCGAAAGCCUGAUGCAGCAACGCCGCGUGAGGGAUGAAGGCCUUCGGGUUGUAAACCUCUUUUAGCAGGGAAGAAGCGAAAGUGACGGUACCUGCAGAAAAAGCACCGGCUAACUACGUGCCAGCCGCCGCGGUAA
This 483-nucleotide ribosomal RNA is filed under the name uncultured bacterium. RNAcentral describes it as "partial 16S ribosomal RNA". It matches the Rfam family "Bacterial small subunit ribosomal RNA", at positions 28 to 523 of the family's 1533-position model. The record is from RNAcentral.